CCCAUCCUGAGGUGUUCGCCAGUUAUCCGAAUCCCUGAGCCGAUAAUCCUACCCCAGGAGGCAGCUUGAUGUAUUGGAGCGCAUGUCCGCUAGACGGAAAGCCCGACAUACACGGCUCCCUCCCACUUGAACUCCUCGGUUCAAGGUUAGGUUAACAGCGGCACUUUGGGUGAUUU
RNAcentral lists this non-coding RNA (176 nucleotides) under Alteromonadaceae bacterium. Its description in RNAcentral is "6S RNA". It matches the Rfam family "6S / SsrS RNA". From Rfam's summary of the family: E. coli 6S RNA was the first non coding RNA to be sequenced, but its function was unknown until recently. It consists of 184 nucleotides that fold into an extended hairpin structure with a large single-stranded internal bulge. Lineage: Bacteria; Pseudomonadati; Pseudomonadota; Gammaproteobacteria; Alteromonadales; Alteromonadaceae. The record is from RNAcentral.